CGCUGUUUACCAAAAACAUCGCCUCUUGCAAUUAAACAUAAGAGGUCCUGCUCCAGUGCCCGUGUUCAACGGCCGCGGUAUUUUAACCGUGCAAAGGAGCGCAAUCACUUGUCCCUUAAAUGGGGACCUGUAUGAAUGGCACGACGAGGCUUGACUGUCUCCUCUCUCCAGUCAAUGAAAUUGAUCUCCCCGUGCAGAAGCGGGAUAUUAUCAUAAGACGAGAAGACCCUAUGAAGCUUUAGACACCGGGACAGAUUAUGUUAAACAACCCUUCUAAAGGAAUAAACCUAGUAACCCCUGUCCAAAUGUCUUUGGUUGGGGCGACCGCGGGGAAAUAAAUAACCCCCAUGUGGACUGAGAGAAUUAACUCUCUUACAACCCAGAGCUACAGCUCUAAGUAACAAAACUUUUGACCUAAAGGAUCCGGCAAUGCCGAUCAACGAACCGAGUUACUCUAGGGAUAACAGCGCAAUCCCCUUUUAGAGUCCCUAUCGACAAGGGGGUUUACGACCUCGAUGUUGGAUCAGGACAUCCUAAUGGUGCACCGCUAUUAAGGUUCGUUUGUCAACGAUUAAAGUUUCUAGUUCAGACCGG
RNAcentral lists this ribosomal RNA (594 nucleotides) under Paralabrax humeralis (Peruvian rock seabass). Its description in RNAcentral is "partial 16S ribosomal RNA". It matches the Rfam family "Bacterial large subunit ribosomal RNA", at positions 1797 to 2619 of the family's 2925-position model. The record is from RNAcentral. Lineage: Eukaryota; Metazoa; Chordata; Actinopteri; Perciformes; Serranidae.